This 252-nucleotide ribosomal RNA is filed under the name uncultured bacterium. RNAcentral's name for it is "partial 16S ribosomal RNA". It matches the Rfam family "Bacterial small subunit ribosomal RNA", at positions 524 to 775 of the family's 1533-position model. The record is from RNAcentral.
UACGAAGGGGGCUAGCGUUGCUCGGAAUGACUGGGCGUAAAGGGCGCGUAGGCGGUUCAUACAGUCAGAUGUGAAAUUCCCGGGCUUAACCUGGGGGGCUGCAUUUGAUACGUGUGGGCUUGAGUGAGGAAGAGGGUUGUGGAAUUCCCAGUGUAGAGGUGAAAUUCGUAGAUAUUGGGAAGAACACCGGUGGCGAAGGCGGCAACCUGGUCCUUUACUGAGCUGAGGCGCGAAAACGUGGGGAGCAAACGG